Molecule: transfer RNA, 73 nt
Filed under: Limosilactobacillus secaliphilus
Lineage: Bacteria; Bacillati; Bacillota; Bacilli; Lactobacillales; Lactobacillaceae
Description: Lactobacillus secaliphilus tRNA
Rfam family: tRNA
About the family: Transfer RNA (tRNA) molecules are approximately 80 nucleotides in length.
Source: Rfam by way of RNAcentral
GGGGAAUUAGCUCAGUUGGGAGAGCACCUGCUUUGCAAGCAGGAGGUCAGCGGUUCGAACCCGCUAUUCUCCA